RNAcentral lists this ribosomal RNA (626 nucleotides) under uncultured archaeon. Its description in RNAcentral is "bacterial SSU rRNA". It matches the Rfam family "Archaeal small subunit ribosomal RNA", at positions 141 to 770 of the family's 1478-position model. The record is from RNAcentral.
UGAUGCUAAAUCUGGAUAGAAGAUUGAGGCUGGAAUGCACUUUCUUUGAAAAGUAAUGCCAUAAGAUGAGUCGGCGGCUGAUUAGGCUGUUGGUGAGGUAAUGGCUCACCAAACCUGAGAUCAGUAGGGGGAGUGAGAGCUCUAGCCCCGAGAAGGACACUGAGAAAAGGGUCCUAGUCCUAAGGGACGCAGCAGUCGCGAAAACUUUACAAUGCACGAAAGUGUGAUAAGGGGAUUCCAAGUGCUUUACCUUCGGGUAAGGCUUUUGCCAAGUCCAAAUAGCUUGGCGAAUAAGUGAUGGGCAAGACCGGUGCCAGCCGCCGCGGUAACACCGGCGUCACAAGUGGGGAUCAUAUUUAUUGGGUCUAAAGCAUCCGUAGCUGGUUUAGUAAAUCUUUUGUGAAAUCGUUGUGCUUAACAUAACGACGUGCAAAAGAAACUGCUAGACUUGGGACCGGGAGAGGUUAGGGGUAUUCUGAGGGGAGCGGUAAAAUGUGAUAAUCCUUAGAGGACCACCAAUGGCGUAGGCACCUAACUAGAACGGGUCCGACGGUGAGGGAUGAAGGCUAGGGGAGCGAUCCGGAUUAGAUACCCGAGUAGUCCUAGCAGUAAACUCUGUGAGCUAU